RNAcentral lists this small RNA (334 nucleotides) under Exophiala oligosperma. RNAcentral's name for it is "A. fumigatus sRNA Afu_309". It matches the Rfam family "A. fumigatus sRNA Afu_309". Lineage: Eukaryota; Fungi; Ascomycota; Eurotiomycetes; Chaetothyriales; Herpotrichiellaceae. RNAcentral also lists the same sequence under 1 other name. The record is from Rfam by way of RNAcentral.
UCUUCCUCAACAACAAGUUCUGUGUCACAACGAUCCCUUCCUCUCAAUGCUCCUUCGGGACAUAGGAUGUGCUAGGUUGAUUGUUGUGAACGUCUCGACUAUUCCUGCGGAGAUAUUAUCGCACUUCCAUUAAUGUCCAACCCAGUCGACAGAACUGAGAUUGACCCGAGACCUUUUCACGCCCUCUGGGCAAGGCUGGCCUUGAGCUCGCCUCUCUGAGGCUGAACUCGGCCGGCUGAAAGUGGUGUGUAGGGAGACGUCUUAUUCCCAAGCUUAGUGUUGAUCCUCGUCGAGGAAUGAUCACUGGGCAAAACCAAGGCUAUUGUCUACAUCC